RNAcentral lists this transfer RNA (69 nucleotides) under Marmota monax (woodchuck). RNAcentral describes it as "tRNA.Ala". The record is from RNAcentral. Lineage: Eukaryota; Metazoa; Chordata; Mammalia; Rodentia; Sciuridae.
GGAAUGUGGCCCAAGCGGUAACGCGCUCGCCUGGCAUACGCGAGGCGCUGGGUUCGAUCCUCAGCACCA